This is a long non-coding RNA of Homo sapiens (human), 950 nucleotides long. RefSeq annotates it as long independently transcribed non-coding RNA 2087. The record is from RefSeq and is marked validated. The transcript is spliced from 3 exons. Lineage: Eukaryota; Metazoa; Chordata; Mammalia; Primates; Hominidae.
AUUGUGAAAGGGAGGCAAAGAUCUGCACCUGCCAUGGCGGUUGGGCUCACGUGCUCCUCUGCAUUGGAGUUAGCCAAGGAGCGUGUGCAGAACACUUGCCUCGUAGGCCAGCCGUAAGGAAGGAUGUCCCAGGUGCAGGCGAGGUUUUGUUCAUGUGUUCCUGGAGGAUUUUUCCGGUGGCAAGUGCUUCUCCAUCCUCCAGCAUCUCAGGCCUGUGCACCAGCCUUCCUGUGCCCGUUGAUGGACUGAGAGGAAGAUGAGCCCUUAGGAUGCCUGCCAUGCUCAGUGUUAAGGGUUUUCAAAAGAAAUGCAGGCAGCAUGGUGCACUACAGACUCCAGCCUCCCUUUGAAGCCAGGUUCCAGAGCUUCCUCCCUUUGGCCUGGAACCUCAACAGCAGGAUUGGGAUGAGGAUGGAAGUGUACAGAUAUGCAUAUAGUAUUGCUUAUCCCCAGCUGAAAUCAAUGUUGGCAUGACAUGUUGCAAAACCAAACUGACAUUGAACAUGACUUUUUUCAGCCCUUUAAAUAGCUGUUCAUGUAGAACUUAGUUUUUUAUGGAAGACCUUGAUAAUCCUGUCUUUAGUUACUUUAGAAGUUAACUUCCUGGGUGGACUUGAAUUGAGUCUUAUUCAUCUUUAAAUUUCCAGGGUUUAGCAAAGUACCUGCUUCAGAGUAGGUGUUAAUAAAGCUAAUGCCCUUCAAAUCAACAAGAGGAUUUCCUGUGAGGGGUGGUCCUGUUUUCUGACACUCAGAUGGCUCUGAGUGUGGCAUCUCAGAAAAAAGAAAGAAAGAAAAAAAAAAAGAUUGGGCUGGGCGCGGUGGCUCACGCCUGUAAUCCCAGCACUUUGGGAGGCUGAGGCAGGUGGAUCACAAGGUCAGGAGAUCGAGACCAUCCUGGCUAACACAGUGAAACCCUGUCUCUACUAAAAAUAAAAAAAAUUUAUCCUGGC